This 476-nucleotide ribosomal RNA is filed under the name uncultured organism. Its description in RNAcentral is "partial 16S ribosomal RNA". It matches the Rfam family "Bacterial small subunit ribosomal RNA", at positions 332 to 799 of the family's 1533-position model. The record is from RNAcentral.
UACACUCCUACGGGAGGCAGCAGUGGGGAAUUUUGGACAAUGGGCGAAAGCCUGAUCCAGCAAUGCCGCGUGAGUGAAGAAGGCCUUCGGGUUGUAAAGCUCUUUUGUCAGGGAAGAAACGGUGAGAGCUAAUAUCUUUUGCUAAUGACGGUACCUGAAGAAUAAGCACCGGCUAACUACGUGCCAGCAGCCGCGGUAAUACGUAGGGUGCAAGCGUUAAUCGGAAUUACUGGGCGUAAAGCGUGCGCAGGCGGUUUUGUAAGUCUGAUGUGAAAUCCCCGGGCUCAACCUGGGAAUUGCAUUGGAGACUGCAAGGCUAGAAUCUGGCAGAGGGGGGUAGAAUUCCACGUGUAGUAGUGAAAUGCGUAGAUAUGUGGAGGAACACCGAUGGCGAAGGCAGCCCCCUGGGUCAAGAUUGACGCACAUGCACGAAAGCGUGGGGAGCAAACAGGAUUAGAAACCCGGGUAGUCCCAUG